GCGAGAGUGGCGGAACUGGUAGACGCACUGGAUUUAGGAUCCAGCGCACUAGAGUUCAAGGGGGUUCAACUCCCCCCUCUCGCACCA
RNAcentral lists this transfer RNA (87 nucleotides) under Desulfobulbaceae bacterium. RNAcentral describes it as "tRNA-Leu". It matches the Rfam family "tRNA". Rfam says of the family: Transfer RNA (tRNA) molecules are approximately 80 nucleotides in length. Their secondary structure includes four short double-helical elements and three loops (D, anti-codon, and T loops). Further hydrogen bonds mediate the characteristic L-shaped molecular structure. tRNAs have two regions of fundamental functional importance: the anti-codon, which is responsible for specific mRNA codon recognition, and the 3' end, to which the tRNAs corresponding amino acid is attached (by aminoacyl-tRNA synthetases). tRNAs cope with the degeneracy of the genetic code in two manners: having more than one tRNA (with a specific anti-codon) for a particular amino acid; and 'wobble' base-pairing, i.e. permitting non-standard base-pairing at the 3rd anti-codon position. Lineage: Bacteria; Pseudomonadati; Thermodesulfobacteriota; Desulfobulbia; Desulfobulbales; Desulfobulbaceae. The record is from RNAcentral.